GUUCAAUAGUGCGUGUUCUUCUAAUGGCUGCCUUCCCACUGGAGGUUUUGAUCCACAGCAAUUUAAAAGGAGGACAAAGCAAAACGGACAUCGGCGCAGAGUGAAGAACUGCCCUUGAUAGGACACUAUGACAGCCAUAUAUAUGGCGGUAAGGAAGAGGUUUCCCAAUGUGUCCCGAGGGGCUUUGGGGAUUGCAGUGAAUUCGAAGCUGGGGGAACUGAGACUGCUGGAAAAGGAAAAAAAAAUACAUUUUAAGUAUGUUGAUUUAUGUUCAUACAA
Molecule: long non-coding RNA, 279 nt
Organism: Oreochromis aureus
Lineage: Eukaryota; Metazoa; Chordata; Actinopteri; Cichliformes; Cichlidae
Exons: 3
Source: RefSeq, a predicted model, not a curated record